Corvus hawaiiensis (hawaiian crow) is the source of this 932-nucleotide long non-coding RNA. RefSeq lists it as uncharacterized. The record is from RefSeq and is a predicted model, not a curated record. Lineage: Eukaryota; Metazoa; Chordata; Aves; Passeriformes; Corvidae. The transcript is spliced from 3 exons.
ACAGAGCACAAGGGCAGACAAAAAAUGAAGGUGCAAAAAGGCCCGCAGUGAAACGGGGGGGGUUGUUUGCGCUUUUCUCUUUCAUUACCGGUGUCUUUUCAAGCCUGAUGAAAAGUGGGCGGGGCAGGGGAGAAUGAACUGCCUGGAACUGUAACCUAAAACCAGAAAGGCGUAAGGGGGGCAAUAAAGGGAACAGUGCGAGGGCCAACACAACUCCAGCUGUGCGGGUGCGCGGCCAGGGCACUGCCGGGCACAAUUUGGGGUCAUCUGCACAACUUACACCUGUCCCAGGUACUUCUGGGCUCCGAACAAGCUUUUGUGCCUUGGAAAUUCACCAGUUCUCUGAAAAAAAAUCCCUUGUUGCUAUGGAAAUACCAUCCCUUCACGAUGAAUCCUUCUUGAAGGUGGAGGACAUUGGCAAGACUAAACCUGCCUGCUCGUCUUGCUCUAUUCUUCUGAGACUCGUUUUUACAACCUUCGCAGGAUGUGAAUUCAUUCAGCGUGGUGGCCUCCUGCAGGGAGUGCUCUGCUCACACCAUCUUGUACCAACAGGCAGCCUGAGGAGAGCCCUCUGUGCCAGGGCCUGGCUGCAGGACACCUGGCAGCACUCACAGCAGCCCUGUGCUUCCUGCAACUUGUAUGUUUAAAUAUUUCUAAUGAUGGGGGAAACAAAUUGUUACAGCUACAAAUCACCUGCCAGAGUGACCAGAUUUGCAUCAUAAACCUUUGCACAAUCUGUACUUGACAAAAGCCAGGUUGUCCCUCAGUAACUUAAUUUUUUUUUGAGAGUUUAGGAAGGGCUGUGGUAGGAAAAUGUGGUUCAAAGCAGCAUUCAAUGUGCUGAAUACUUUUUAUUCCAAGUGCAAAUCUGUGACUGUACCUGUUAAGAUUGUAUUAGAAUGAUUAAACCAAUGAAAACAGAUUUAUUGCCA